This 394-nucleotide ribosomal RNA is filed under the name uncultured bacterium. Its description in RNAcentral is "partial 16S ribosomal RNA". It matches the Rfam family "Bacterial small subunit ribosomal RNA", at positions 338 to 729 of the family's 1533-position model. The record is from RNAcentral.
CCUACGGGUGGCAGCAGUGAGGAAUAUUGGUCAAUGGCCGAGAGUCUGAACCAGCCAAGUCGCGUGCAGGAUGACGGCCCUACGGGUUGUAAACCUCUUUUGUCGGGGAGCAAAGCGAGUCACGUGUGACUCAUUGCGAGUACCCGACGAAAAAGCAUCGGCUAAAUCCGUGCCAGCAGCCGCGGUAAUACGGAGGGUGCGAGCGUUAUCCGGAUUUAUUGGGUUUAAAGGGUGCGGAGGCGGGAGGAAAAGUUAGCGGUGAAAUUUGGUGGCUCAACCCCGGUACUGCCGUUGAAACUGUAUGGCUAGAGUGUGCGAGAGGUAGGCGGAAUGCGUGGUGUAGCGGUGAAAUGCGUAGAGAUCACGAAGAACUCCGAUUGCGAAGGCAGCAUAC